GGGGGAUGGGGUCGGAGAUCAUGCUGAACGAACAUCCGGUCCUGACCAUCCUGCCCGCCGCAGAAGCGGGCACGCGCAGUUCGAAUCUCGUAUCCUCCGCCA
RNAcentral lists this transfer RNA (102 nucleotides) under Streptomyces sp. ISL-43. RNAcentral describes it as "tRNA-Leu". The record is from RNAcentral. Lineage: Bacteria; Bacillati; Actinomycetota; Actinomycetes; Kitasatosporales; Streptomycetaceae.